UACCGGCGGCUCGAGUGGUGGCCACUAUUACUGGGCUUAAAGCGUUCGUAGCUGGUCUGUUAAGUCUCUGGGGAAAUCUACUGGCUUAACCAAUAGGCGUUUCAGGGAUACUGGCAGACUAGGGACCGGGAGAGGUGAGGGGUACUCCAGGGGUAGGAGUGAAAUCCUGUAAUCCUUGGGGGACCACCUGUGGCGAAGGCGCCUCACCAGAACGGCUCCGACAGUGAGGGACGAAAGCUGGGGGAGCAAACCGG
This 254-nucleotide ribosomal RNA is filed under the name uncultured Methanoregula sp. Its description in RNAcentral is "partial 16S ribosomal RNA". It matches the Rfam family "Archaeal small subunit ribosomal RNA", at positions 474 to 727 of the family's 1478-position model. The record is from RNAcentral. Lineage: Archaea; Methanobacteriati; Methanobacteriota; Methanomicrobia; Methanomicrobiales; Methanoregulaceae.